AAAUGAGUGCUACCUCUCACUCUCCUCACGUCUUACUAUCCUAGUAUAUAUUUGGGCUUAAGAAAUGAUACCUCUAAUUUAAUUAUUAGGCCCAAAAGACAUAGUAUUAUAAUAUCUCUAUUUAGUUCAAAUAAAUUAAACCAACACAAUAUACACACCAAGUUAAUUAAUUCAAUCAAUUAUUAUACUACCUUAACAACCAAUUAAUUAAUUAACACCCCAAAUAAAUAAAAUAAAAUAGUAU
This 244-nucleotide long non-coding RNA is filed under the name Lathyrus oleraceus (garden pea). RNAcentral's name for it is "Pisum sativum (pea) long non-coding RNA (PSAT_LNC020725)". Lineage: Eukaryota; Viridiplantae; Streptophyta; Magnoliopsida; Fabales; Fabaceae. The record is from RNAcentral.